AAUCUGCGAACGGCUCCGUAUAUCUGUUAAAACCCGUUGCCCUCAUCAAAGGUUGGUAAGCGGAUAUUGCUCGGUAAUCCUGUCAGUAAUACGUGUACGUGCAACGCCCCCUGGGAGUAUAGCCCGACGGCAGUCUCCGACUGAAUGGGGGGAAUCUGGAGGCGACUCUCAUUGGAGCCGGCCGGAUUGUACCAGAGCUUUGGGCCUGAGGCGACGGUUUUCAGACCUAUCAACUAGAGGCCUGCGUAGUGAACAGGCCUGGUUUUGACGGGUACAGAGGAUCAGGGUUCGGUCCUGGAGAGGUAGCCUGAGAUAUCGCUACUACUUCUAAGGAAGGCAGCAGGCGCGCAACGUUCCCAAUGGGACUCCAUGUAGGCCCGAGGACGUGACGGAACAUACCUAUGCUCCGCCUUUAAGGCUGGGGUAAUCGGAAUGGGGGGAUUUUAAACCUCACAGCCGAGUAACAAUUAGAGGACAAGU
This 480-nucleotide ribosomal RNA is filed under the name Arcyria imperialis. Its description in RNAcentral is "SSU rRNA". It matches the Rfam family "Eukaryotic small subunit ribosomal RNA", at positions 84 to 560 of the family's 1831-position model. The record is from RNAcentral. Lineage: Eukaryota; Evosea; Eumycetozoa; Trichiida; Trichiidae.